AGAUUGAAGAAAAGAAGGACUAGUAAGAUGGCUUAUAAGCUGGAUUUUGAGAGUGAGUGAGCUCUUCUACGCAUUGGCUUAUAAGCCAUCUUACUAGUCUUUCUUUUCUUC
Molecule: microRNA precursor, 111 nt
Organism: Arabidopsis lyrata subsp. lyrata
Lineage: Eukaryota; Viridiplantae; Streptophyta; Magnoliopsida; Brassicales; Brassicaceae
Rfam family: MIR844 microRNA precursor family
Source: Rfam